GCAACUAUACAGUGAAACUGCGAAUGGCUCAUUAAAUCAGUUAUCGUUUAUUUGAUAGUACCUUACUACUUGGAUAACCGUGGUAAUUCUAGAGCUAAUACAUGCUAAAAAUCCCGACCCCUGGAAGGGAUGUAUUUAUUAGAUAAAAAACCAAUGCCUUCGGGCUCCUUGGUGAUUCAUGAUAACUUAACGAAUCGCAUGGCCUUGCGCCGGCGAUGGUUCAUUCAAAUUUCUGCCCUAUCAAGUUUCGAUGGUAGGAUAGUGGCCUACCAUGCUUUCAACGGGUAACGGGGAAUUAGGGUUCUAUUCCGGAGAGGGAGCCUGAGAAACGGCUACCACAUCCAAGGAAGGCAGCAGGCGCGCAAAUUACCCAAUCCCGACACGGGGAGGUAGUGACAAUAAAUACUGAUACAGGGCGCUUUCGCGUCUUGUAAUUGGAAUGAGUACGAUCUAAAAACUCUAACGAGGAACAAUUGGAGGGCAAGUCUGGUGCCAGCAGCCGCGGUAAUUCCAGCUCCAAUAGCGUAUAUUAAAGUUGUUGCAGUUAAAAAGCUCGUAGUUGAACCUUGGGCCGGGGUGGCGGGUCCGCCUCACCGCGUGCACUCGUCCGCCCUGGCCUUUCCUUCUGGCGAGCCCCAUGCCCUUCACUGGGUGUGGCGGGGAACCAGGACUUUUACUUUGAAAAAAUUAGAGUGUUCAAAGCAGGCAUAUGCUCGAAUACAUUAGCAUGGAAUAAUAGAAUAGGACGUGUGGUUCUAUUUUGUUGGUUUCUAGGACCACCGUAAUGAUUAAUAGGGAUAGUCGGGGGCAUCCGUAUUCAACUGUCAGAGGUGAAAUUCUUGGAUUUGUUGAAGACGAACUACUGCGAAAGCAUUUGCCAAGGAUGUUUUCAUUAAUCAGGAACGAAAGUUGAGGGAUCGAAGACGAUCAGAUACCGUCGUAGUCUCAACCAUAAACUAUGCCGACUAGGGAUCGGGCGAUGUUCUUAUUUUGACCCGCUCGGAACCUUACGAGAAAUC
Molecule: ribosomal RNA, 1019 nt
Filed under: Cookeina speciosa
Lineage: Eukaryota; Fungi; Ascomycota; Pezizomycetes; Pezizales; Sarcoscyphaceae
Description: SSU rRNA
Rfam family: Eukaryotic small subunit ribosomal RNA
Source: RNAcentral